Non-coding RNA from Xyrichtys novacula (pearly razorfish), 182 nucleotides. Lineage: Eukaryota; Metazoa; Chordata; Actinopteri; Labriformes; Labridae. The record is from the annotation of a GenBank genome assembly.
GGUGAAUGGUGUGCACUGUUUUAGUCUGUGUUAUGUGUUGUUGCUCAUCUGCGUUUUGCAGGCAGAGCAGCAGCGCUCACUCCGCACUGUCAGCCAUAGAACAACAGGAGAUCAUAGUACUGGCCCUUGACGUCUCUUACUGACAUCUCACCAUCGGUCAGCCUCCAAACUCUCCUACAACA